RNAcentral lists this long non-coding RNA (334 nucleotides) under Coffea arabica (coffee). RNAcentral's name for it is "long non-coding RNA (CARA_LNC001239)". Lineage: Eukaryota; Viridiplantae; Streptophyta; Magnoliopsida; Gentianales; Rubiaceae. The record is from RNAcentral.
GCGACAGUUGGCGACUCCACUGGGGACGUUCGAGAGUCCGAGCAAAUUUGAUUUAAUCAAACUUUUUUUUCUUUUAAUCUUUUCAUAUAUCACAUUUGGAUGUUUAGGAUUGCAUUUUUCCUUUUAUUAGGAUUUUUUGCAUCUCACACCAACUCCCUCACUUACUCAUUUGGCGUAUGAUUAUUUUGAUUGAUGAAUGGUUUAUGUAUGUAAUUCCGCGCUUGACAUUGCAUUUGGGUGGGGGACACACCCUAGAGCCUCGCGUUAGUUCUUGAUCCCUCCCCUCCAAACAAGCACUAGCAUACGUGCAUCCGUUUUAUUUAUUUUACCCCUC